Long non-coding RNA from Arabidopsis lyrata subsp. lyrata, 1298 nucleotides. RefSeq lists it as uncharacterized. NCBI's taxonomy places the organism in Eukaryota, Viridiplantae, Streptophyta, Magnoliopsida, Brassicales, Brassicaceae. The transcript is spliced from 4 exons. The record is from RefSeq and is a predicted model, not a curated record.
CCAACCAACAAGAGGCACAACACUGCUAAAAUUUUCAGACACCAAUCGUUGCCUCCGAGGAGCCUUGGUAUGCUCAUCUUCUUGUUUUUUGGCUAUACAUAUUAUUUUCGUUACUAUAAAUUCUAAUAGUGUUUGUUUUUUUAAACGAUUGUAUGUUUUGGAUGAAUGAAAGCAACCACGAUGCAUGAAGAAGAUUCAGGUGAUGUUUCAAUUGAUCUUUUAUCUUUCAUUUAUCGAUUUUCUAAUUUUACAAAAAUGUUCUCACCGAGUAGAAUAUACUUUUGAGUUUUGAGUUAAAUCUUUCACAGUCUGUUGUGGAUUAGCAACGUUUCAAGCCAUAUUAACUAUUGUGUUGUGGCAGUUCGAAAGAUUCAUAUAAAUUGGACUAUUGCUACAAAAAAACAGAAUCACAGGUUUAAUUCUAUCAAAGGAGAUAAAGCCUCUUAUCUCUACUGUCUUUGAGGGUAAAGAUGCUAAUGUCAUCGCCCACGGAGCAAGAAAUUGCGGAAAAACAUAUCUCAUACAUGUAUUGAAAGCAAUCCCAUUAAGGGAAAUGAUUAUGCUCUGCCGCUCAAAGGAAACAGACACCUUUGACUGUGUCUGCUACUUCUAGAAAACAGACAGUGCUAAGGGGAAAUGUGACAGAGAGAAAAGACUAAAAUCAAAGCAAGGAAACUGUUCCGCGAAGCAAACGAUUCAGUGAAAUGUAAAAAUAGCAUGUUGGAAAAUUUAAUUAAUACGUCAUGAAGUGGAAUAAUCUAGAUUCUUCCUUUAAAAAGAGGUAAAACAGAGGGUAUAGAAACAGAGACUAAGAGACCAAGAGUCUUAAUUAAGGAGGUUUGGUAUACCACUUAACCCUAAUCAAUCCACUACUUACUUGAUAAAGACAUAUUCUCAUCAUGUAUAUUUGAUUAGAUUAGAUAGGCUCGUAAUAUGGGACAAAACCCCGAAGAUGAGCAAGAAAUGCUUUGAAAGAUUUUAUCGUAGCAUGAGUGUCAUAUCUGCACCCUUCAGUGCUCCCUUGUAAAAUCAGAGUAUCUGAGUAUAGAUACUUAAUAGAUUUAAGUGUUCUUCGAUCUUGGACGAUAUGUUCCAACUUAUACUGAUACAGAGGGUCACGACAUACAUACUAUAAUUGAUAGAGAGUAUUAUCGUCAUCGUGGAUUCAGGUUUUUCCAAGGGCGAUAGAUACAUGGCCGGCCCUAUAGACAUCAACAAGAAACUUUUGCUGUAGCCCAAAUUUUGUUUCUGAAAUUCUUCAACAAAAAUUAUUUAUGAAACGGACCUAAUUUUAUUUA